AUAUGAUACUGCAGAAUUGAGCCGCAUGAAGGAAAAAUGGUUUUGUGAACUGUGAAAAUCUGAAGCUGAUCUGCAAGGGAAAAGAGGAAUUCUGAUUCAUUAUUUAAAUCAAGACUAGCUCCUCUACAUGUGGAUUCUCUGUGAUGCUUUCUAGUCUUGCAGGUAAUUUUAGCAAAUGUGUCAAAUUUGCAAUUCUGUUGUGCAGGGGUUGAAAGCUGUGAGGGGAGAAAGAGCCAGGGGAAUGAGGAAGAAGGAGAAGAAGAUGAGACAAUAACAGAGACAAUGGGCUUGAAGGGAUGAAGAUAGAACUGACCUGGAAGCUUCCUGCCUGAGGACUGUCUCUCAUGGUUUCUGAAGGGAAGUACAGAGCUUACUUGCAGCAGCCAGACACUAUUACAGGAAUCUAUGGCUUGUAAAAAUGCUGCAUAAAGUAAGUGACUGUGGAGUGCCCAAUCCCAACUGAUGCCUACGAUGCAGCCCCUACAGCUAAUGCUCAGGGAAAAUCAUGGAAGAGGGGGUGAAAAGAUUGUCAGAGCCAGAAGACCUGGACACUUUUUGCUUGAUGUUGUACUCCAGACAUAACAAGGAAGCUGCAUCCAUGAAAUCUCAACUAUGUGAAGGCCUAAAUAAGACUUGCAUAAAGAUAAUACUAGUUGACAUAACAAUAUGGAUGGGGAAAUGUUUCAUAAUGACCCACAACUAGACAAAGAGCUACAAUCAAUCAAUGGCUCCUGAGUGAUAGGAAUCAGUUUUUUUUUGUUUUUUUUUUUUUUUUACAGGGAUGAGUGCCAUGAUAAAGCACAAUUGGUCAGUCCCAAACACAUGAGCACACAAGCAACACUAAAUUGGUUUUAUGCCUAUCCAUACAGUUAUAGAUAAAUAUAGAAAUGUAGCAUAAUAAUUAAAGAUGUCAUGAAGUUGAGAGGAAGUAUGUGGAGGGUAUGGAAGAGCUGGAGUCGUGAGAGAAGGUGUGGAAAUGAUACAAUACAGUACUCCCAUACAAAAUUAUAAAAAAAUGAACAAAGGAUCUAGGGUUUUGAAAUCAGACAAACACAUCCUGCUUGUGUCACUUAGAAGCAAUGGGAAGAUUAACCUAUCUCUUAUGGUAUCAUUUUCCUCAUCUGCAGUGGAGAAGUGAAUACCCACUGACAAGUACUGUGUUUGGCAUGUGGUAUGCACUCUAUCACAAUGGAUAUUGUUCUAAUAUCCACUAGACUUUUUUGAAAUGAUAAUCUACAUAGUAUGUCUUCUAACCUCUCCUCUGCACACUAUAUCAUGCUAGAAGAAAAUCACUAAGGUUCCACCUUAUUGAAAGAAUGGGUCUUUGAGCUGCAAUCCAGGAACAGAAAGAACAUAUGUAGCUGUGUCUAAAAAUAACCUCUGUGGAAGCCCAUGAAUAGUCAGGUACUUAUUUCUGAGCUAAUCCUAUAUUAACCCCACUUCUUUCCAUACAUGGAUGGAUAUAGAGUACACAAAAUUGUCUUCAGCUCUUCUUCAUCACCUUAAAGCUCCCUCAACUUUUUAUCUGUACUCCAUAAUAGGCAUAAUUAUUUAUAAGAACAAAGGUGUAGAGUGUUCUCAACAUGUCCCAGACUUCAGAGAUCCAAUAAAUCCAAACUGAUGCUACCCAAAAUGUGGAAGUUAUAAAACACAUUUACAUAUUCCACUUUCCUCAUUGAAACCAUUUCCAUACUUUCCCCAUACUCCAGUGUGCCCUAGAAUGCUACUUUUUAGAAUUGUAUUUUGCAUCAGGACAAAUUAUACAAACAUUUAACUCAUACUUUUAGACCCUUGAAAAUGUUAAUAUAUUUUUUUCAUGUUAGAAGGACAUGUGCUUGAGAUUGAUGAACUAAAUUGUGUUCCUUCAAAAUUCACAUGUUGUAGCUCUAAUUACUAGCACCUCUUUUUGGUAUUUGAAGAUGAAGACUUUAUACACCCCAGUAAAUAAAAACAAAGCUGUUCAGUGAUCCCUCUUCUAGUCUAACAAAUGUCUUGUUUGAAGAGGCCAUUAUGACAUGCUGAGAGAGUUACUAGACAUGCAUGUACAUUGACCAAACCUCAUGAGGAGACAACAAGAGAGCAAUUAUGGGGAAAGCAAGGAGACAUUAGCCAGUAGAAAGCAAUGCUGCUGAUACCCUGAUCAGAACUCUAAGAAAAGAAUUUCAUCUGUUUAAGCCACAAAUUGUAUGGCAUUUAAUUACAGUUCCCUUAGCACAUUAAUAUAUACCCUAUGCAAUCAUUGAGCUAUGUGGUGGCAUAAGUAUAAAUUAUUGAUCUAAUUGAGGACAAAGUUGAACUCAAUGCCAUCUCAGCGGCAAGAUCCAUGUGAAGAUCAUCAAAUUCCUGUUAAAAUUGCAUGCUAGUCUUCUCUCUGUCUUGUCCCAACUCUUCCUCCCUGUUAUAGAUACUGUGACAGCACACCAAUAAAUUUCCUACAUGCACAUAUCCAUUACAACAUUCAUUUCUGGAAGAUAUUCUUUUUGUUCUUUUCCUCCAACUUUUAUUUUUUUUCUUUUUGGGAAUGAGAAACAAGAUUGUUUUACAUGUCAAUCCCAGUUCCCACUCCCUCCCUUCCUCCCCUCCCACCCCCACCCAACUAAAACCCUACCUAUCACAUAUCCUUUCUGCUCCCCAGGGAGGGUUAGGCCUUCUGGAAGACAUUCCUAUGAGAGACAAGUUAACUAGAUAAGGAGUGCAUAGAAUAGAGUGAGCAUUUAGCAUAUGAGCAAUUGCUUUCAAUGCCAGGUGUAGGUCAAUCAUUCCAGGAUUUUAAACAUGAAGAAUUUAUAAAUAAUCAACUAACCAAUUCAUUAAUAUAAUAUUGUUUGCAUGAAUUAAUUUUACUGUAUCCUAUCUCUCUAAAAUGACAUAGAGGUGAGGUUUCAGAAUCAGAUUUAGUUUGAUAAAGAAAUAAUGUGGAGAAGCACCCAUGGCAUCCCCCGUCUUGACAAGGAGAAAAGGAAAGGUGUCAUGCCCACUCACUCACACAAAUCCCCUUUAUUCUAUUUUAACUUAAAAUAGAGUGAUCUUAAUUGUAGAGCAGUAUGAAUUAAUGUUUUAUGGUGAAUAACUAGUUUUACACACUAUACCAAUUUUCCUGUUUUAUCUCUUGUCAGUUCUAACAUGGUUUAUUGACUAGCAUUGACCAGAAUUACCAAAAAUAUACUAAAGAUAUUUGACAAAUAUAAACAUUGCUUACAGGUACAAUUUUUAAUCAAAUUUAAUUCGUUUAUAUAUACAUAGUACAAUCAAUAAGACUCAGAGAAAACAAAUGUGAAAAAGCUUAUUUAUUGGAAAUUUAUUUACAUCUGUUAUUUCUGUUCUCUUUUGUGGCUCAAGAAAGACAAAAGGCAGAAGAAAGGGCAGGAUUGAAGUAUGUUUUUGUGAAGAAGAAUAAUUUGAUGAUAAUUCUUUCUGUAUUUUAUAAAUAAGAAGGUCAUUUAAAAGAUUUGUCUAGACACGUGCUUGAAGAAACAGAAAAGGCUACAGGAAUCUGAUGGCUUUAAAUCUUCAAAAAAACUUUUGACAUCUUCAAUUCACAUCCCCACAUGAAUCUGUCUGCAGUCUCAAGAGCAUGACCUCCUGGAACCUCUUUAUGAGAGCAAGAGAACCUGUUCAAGUGUCACAGAAGACAUUAACAUUCUAUUCUUGCUAUCAAAGACAAAAUAUAUGGGGUCACCAGAGUUGUUACAGUCGCAUCAUCACAGCAGAGAGAAUGCACACCAAUGAGAACAGCAAGCAGAUUCUGUACCUCAUGCUGACAAAGGUUUCCUUAACCAGCUUAAGAUUCUCAAGAGCCUUGUCCUUGUCUUUCUGUGACAUUCAAUGGAUCAUUUACUUCAGCAGACUCUUAAGCUGUCACAGCCAGAAUGUCCUGUUCUCCUGAAAAAUCAUCAGCUUUGAUAUCUGAAUCGUUUCCUGCCCCCCCCGAAACAAUGUCCCAGGUGAUCCAACAUCUAAAACAGCAGAGAUGAUGCAGCCUUGCAGACUACAAAAACAAGGACCUGGCCAGAUUUCUGUGUUUUAUCAUGAUCCCCAUGGUAAGGACAUUGCUCCCAACCAGCAUGAAGCAGUUUAGAAUGAAUGAUGCCCAAAUUCCCAAAUAUUGUUUAUAAAUGUUUGUUUUCAUUUAAAUGGGGUUGGUUAUAAAUG
Non-coding RNA from Cricetulus griseus (Chinese hamster), 4152 nucleotides. NCBI's taxonomy places the organism in Eukaryota, Metazoa, Chordata, Mammalia, Rodentia, Cricetidae. The record is from RefSeq and is a predicted model, not a curated record.